Molecule: transfer RNA, 73 nt
Filed under: Dipodomys ordii (Ord's kangaroo rat)
Lineage: Eukaryota; Metazoa; Chordata; Mammalia; Rodentia; Heteromyidae
Rfam family: tRNA
About the family: Transfer RNA (tRNA) molecules are approximately 80 nucleotides in length. Their secondary structure includes four short double-helical elements and three loops (D, anti-codon, and T loops).
Source: Rfam by way of RNAcentral
AGAAACAUGGCUCAAAUGGUAGAGCUCCUGCCUAGCAAGCACAAAGUAUAGAGUUCAAACCUCAUUACUACUG